GGGGGGGUGCUAUAAUGCAGUCGAGCGGACAGAUGGGAGCUUGCUCCCUGAUGUUAGCGGCGGACGGGUGAGUAACACGUGGGUAACCUGCCUGUAAGACUGGGAUAACUCCGGGAAACCGGGGCUAAUACCGGAUGGUUGUUUGAACCGCAUGGUUCAAACAUAAAAGGUGGCUUCGGCUACCACUUACAGAUGGACCCGCGGCGCAUUAGCUAGUUGGUGAGGUAACGGCUCACCAAGGCAACGAUGCGUAGCCGACCUGAGAGGGUGAUCGGCCACACUGGGACUGAGACACGGCCCAGACUCCUACGGGAGGCAGCAGUAGGGAAUCUUCCGCAAUGGACGAAAGUCUGACGGAGCAACGCCGCGUGAGUGAUGAAGGUUUUCGGAUCGUAAAGCUCUGUUGUUAGGGAAGAACAAGUACCGUUCGAAUAGGGCGGUACCUUGACGGUACCUAACCAGAAAGCCACGGCUAACUACGUGCCAGCAGCCGCGGUAAUACGUAGGUGGCAAGCGUUGUCCGGAAUUAUUGGGCGUAAAGGGCUCGCAGGCGGUUUCUUAAGUCUGAUGUGAAAGCCCCCGGCUCAACCGGGGAGGGUCAUUGGAAACUGGGGAACUUGAGUGCAGAAGAGGAGAGUGGAAUUCCACGUGUAGCGGUGAAAUGCGUAGAGAUGUGGAGGAACACCAGUGGCGAAGGCGACUCUCUGGUCUGUAACUGACGCUGAGGAGCGAAAGCGUGGGGAGCGAACAGGAUUAGAUACCCUGGUAGUCCA
Molecule: ribosomal RNA, 773 nt
Filed under: Bacillus subtilis
Lineage: Bacteria; Bacillati; Bacillota; Bacilli; Caryophanales; Bacillaceae
Description: bacterial SSU rRNA
Rfam family: Bacterial small subunit ribosomal RNA
Source: RNAcentral